This 773-nucleotide ribosomal RNA is filed under the name uncultured Neocallimastigales. RNAcentral's name for it is "partial large subunit ribosomal RNA". It matches the Rfam family "Eukaryotic large subunit ribosomal RNA", at positions 24 to 646 of the family's 3401-position model. Lineage: Eukaryota; Fungi; Neocallimastigomycota; Neocallimastigomycetes; Neocallimastigales. The record is from RNAcentral.
GUAGUCUCGCACAGAUGCAUAUCAAUAACGGAGGAAAAGAAACUAACAAGGAUUCCCCUAGUAACGGCGAGUGAAGCGGGAAGAGCUCAAAUUUGAAAUCUUAAAGGGUUUCCCUUUACGAAUUGUAGUUUAUAGAAGUGUUUUCUGUUGAGGUUUUGGUAAAAGUUCUUUGGAAUAGGACAUCAUAGAGGGUGAGAAUCCCGUAUUUGACCUUUACUUUCAACUUUGUGAUACACUUUCAAAGAGUCGGAUUGUUUGGGAAUGCAGUCCAAAAUGGGUGGUAAAUUUCAUCUAAAGCUAAAUAUUGGCGAGAGACCGAUAGCGAACAAGUACCGUGAGGGAAAGAUGAAAAGAACUUCGAAAAGAGAGUUAAACAGUACGUGAAAUUGUCAAAAGGGAAGCGUUUGACACCAGUGUUGUUUCUCUGAAAAUCAAUUAAAGAACUGUUUAUGCUAAGCUGUUUAGACUUUAUCAGCUAACUGUUUAGUUUUGAGCUUUUCUUUAAUGCACUUUUCAGUUAACAAGUCAACAUCAAUUUCUUUUGCUGUAAAAAAGCUUGAGGAAGGUGGCUUGAGAUUCGUCUUAAGUGUUUAUAGCCUCUUGCCUAUGCAGUCGGAGAGAUUGAGGUCUGCAGCGUAGAUCCUUCGGGGCUAAAUGCAUUUGUGCUAAGUUAUAACAUUUUAUAGACAACUUGUUGACUAUGAUUUGUCUUGUAGCUUACUCGCUUAUGUUAUUUUACCUACGCUUAGGAUGUUGAUCUGUAGUGCGUGCGC